AGGCAGCAGAGACUUCCUCCCAUAGAAGAAUAACCCUAGUAACACCCACCAAACUAAAGAGAAUGGCUUUUUGACUGAGGGACUGAGUCCACAUUUCAAGUCCUAGUUGGGGAGGAGCAUGGAGCUGUUUCUGCAAGUUGUUUUGGUGAUUUUAUGGCUUCCAGUGGACUGGUCAAGCAGCCAAAAGAUAGAACAGAAUCCUCAGGCUCUGAACACCCAAGAGGGUGAAGAGGCCGUUCUGACCUGUAGCUAUGCAAAUUAUUUUCCAACAUUUUUCCAGUGGUACAGAGAAGAUCCAGGAAGAGGCCUUACCUUCUUGCUACUAAUACGUGAAAGUGAGCGAACAAAAUCGACAAGAAGACUGAAGGCAACCUUUGAUACCACAAAUAAACAGAGUUCCUUUUACAUCACAAACUCCCAGCCUGCAGACUCAGCCACCUACUUCUGUGCUUCAGACACACAGCAGGGCCCUGCCACCCACUUCCUGCACCCAAACCCUGUUAACCAUUCCCAGUCAACAGAGCUGCUGGCUGUGCUAUUCCCAAAGGCUUACUGCAGCUCCACUGGCAAAGUGCUUUACCAGUGGCAAAACAAUGUGGUGGUUAUUUGA
This is a non-coding RNA of Phyllostomus discolor (pale spear-nosed bat), 610 nucleotides long. The record is from the annotation of a RefSeq genome assembly. Lineage: Eukaryota; Metazoa; Chordata; Mammalia; Chiroptera; Phyllostomidae.